CAAUCCAUCAGCGUGGGAAUUAAAAAGACCAUCUUGUCCAAGCGCUUGGUUUGCUGGAAAUCUUAGCUCCGCGGUAGAAGGUACGAGUACCGGAGUUGCCAAAGUUGGCUCUUUCCCGUCAAGUGUUCAACCAGCGGGUGAGCCCAUUGACUUAUUUGAGUAAUGGUGAUCUCUGGGAUUUUGGUCAAAUAUGCUACUGUUGUUCAAGCCUAAACUAAAAUUUUCCCAUUCACGAGAUUA
Molecule: long non-coding RNA, 240 nt
Organism: Salvia miltiorrhiza (redroot sage)
Lineage: Eukaryota; Viridiplantae; Streptophyta; Magnoliopsida; Lamiales; Lamiaceae
Exons: 2
Source: RefSeq, a predicted model, not a curated record